GCAUUGAUAGCUUAAUUUAGAGCAUAGCACUGAAGAUGCUAGGGUGGCAAUAUCUGCCUCAAAGCA
Molecule: transfer RNA, 66 nt
Filed under: Ocinebrellus falcatus
Lineage: Eukaryota; Metazoa; Mollusca; Gastropoda; Neogastropoda; Muricidae
Description: tRNA-Phe
Rfam family: tRNA
About the family: Transfer RNA (tRNA) molecules are approximately 80 nucleotides in length.
Source: RNAcentral